Molecule: ribosomal RNA, 869 nt
Filed under: uncultured Leuconostoc sp.
Lineage: Bacteria; Bacillati; Bacillota; Bacilli; Lactobacillales; Lactobacillaceae
Description: bacterial SSU rRNA
Rfam family: Bacterial small subunit ribosomal RNA
Source: RNAcentral
GAUGAACGCUGGCGGCGUGCCUAAUACAUGCAAGUCGAACGCACAGCGAAAGGUGCUUGCACCUUUCAAGUGAGUGGCGAACGGGUGAGUAACACGUGGAUAACCUACCUCAAGGUUGGGGAUAACAUUUGGAAACAGAUGCUAAUACCGAAUAAAACUUAGUAUCGCAUGAUACCAGGUUAAAAGGCGCUACGGCGUCACCUAGAGAUGGAUCCGCGGUGCAUUAGUUAGUUGGUGGGGUAAAGGCUUACCAAGACAAUGAUGCAUAGCCGAGUUGAGAGACUGAUCGGCCACAUUGGGACUGAGACACGGCCCAAACUCCUACGGGAGGCUGCAGUAGGGAAUCUUCCACAAUGGGCGAAAGCCUGAUGGAGCAACGCCGCGUGUGUGAUGAAGGCUUUCGGGUCGUAAAGCACUGUUGUAUGGGAAGAACAGCUAGAGUAGGGAAUGACUUUAGUUUGACGGUACCAUACCAGAAAGGGACGGCUAAAUACGUGCCAGCAGCCGCGGUAAUACGUAUGUCCCGAGCGUUAUCCGGAUUUAUUGGGCGUAAAGCGAGCGCAGACGGUUAAUUAAGUCUGAUGUGAAAGCCCGGAGCUCAACUCCGGAAAGGCAUUGGAAACUGGUUAACUUGAGUGCAGUAGAGGUAAGUGGAACUCCAUGUGUAGCGGUGGAAUGCGUAGAUAUAUGGAAGAACACCAGCGGCGAAGGCGGCUUACUGGACUGUAACUGACGUUGAGGCUCGAAAGUGUGGGUAGCAAACAGGAUUAGAUACCCUGGUAGUCCACACCGUAAACGAUGAACACUAGGUGUUAGGAGGUUUCCGCCUCUUAGUGCCGAAGCUNACGCAUUAAGUGUUCCGCCUGGGG